GGAUUCCCCUAGUAACUGCGAGUGAAGCGGGAAAAGCUCAAAUUUAAAAUCUGGCGGUCUUUGGCCGUCCGAGUUGUAGUCUGGAGAAGUGCUUUCCGCGCUGGACCGUGUACAAGUCUCUUGGAAUAGAGCGUCAUAGAGGGUGAGAAUCCCGUCUUUGACACGGACUGCCAGUGCUUUGUGAUGCGCUCUCAAAGAGUCGAGUUGUUUGGGAAUGCAGCUCAAAAUGGGUGGUAAAUUCCAUCUAAAGCUAAAUAUUGGCGAGAGACCGAUAGCGAACAAGUACCGUGAGGGAAAGAUGAAAAGCACUUUGGAAAGAGAGUUAAACAGUACGUGAAAUUGCUGAAAGGGAAACACUUGAAGUCAGUCGCGUUGUGCAGAACUCAACCUUGCUUUUCGCUUGGUGCACUUUCUGUACGACGGGCCAGCAUCGAUUUCGACCGUCGGAAAAGGAUUGAAGGAAUGUGGCACCUCCGGGUGUGUUAUAGCCUUCGGUCGCAUACGUCGGUUGGGAUCGAGGAACGCAGCGCGCCGCAAGGUGGGCCUUCGGGCUACAUUCGCGCUUAGGAUGCUGGCGUAAUGGCUUUAAAUGACCCGUCUUGAAACACGGACCAAGGAGUCUAACAUGCCUGCGAGUGUUUGGGUGGAAAACCCGAGCGCGUAAUGAAAGUGAAAG
RNAcentral lists this ribosomal RNA (676 nucleotides) under Polyporus cf. tenuiculus BD990710-21. Its description in RNAcentral is "eukaryotic LSU rRNA". It matches the Rfam family "Eukaryotic large subunit ribosomal RNA", at positions 72 to 731 of the family's 3401-position model. The record is from RNAcentral. Lineage: Eukaryota; Fungi; Basidiomycota; Agaricomycetes; Polyporales; Polyporaceae.